RNAcentral lists this non-coding RNA (452 nucleotides) under uncultured Prevotella sp. The record is from RNAcentral. Lineage: Bacteria; Pseudomonadati; Bacteroidota; Bacteroidia; Bacteroidales; Prevotellaceae.
UCCAACACGUCAGCCUCACCAAAAUACUCACCAUCGCCUAACAACGCUAUUCUCAGUUCUUCGCCAUGAGAGCCCUUGCUAAUCACCUCAGCUUGUCCGCUGGCAACAAUGAAGAAACGCUGUUUGUCUUUGCCCUCCUCUACAAAAAGUUUGUCGACAUCGACCUCCUUAGCCUCAAAAGAGUUGACCAGACGAUUGACUAUCUCAUCAUCAAAUUCAGAGAACAACGGAAUGGUUUUCAGUGCCUUAGCGGUGAAUGAGGGAACGCCAUUGACAUACUGAAUGGGCAGGCGGUCGUUCUUGCGGAGUUCCACCUUGGUGCGGUUCACACGGAAGGUGCCGCCACUAACUUGUACCCAGGGAAGCAACUUGAGAAGCAAUCUCGGAGUAAUACUGCCCAUCUGAGGGGCUGUCUUGGUAGUUGUUGCCAGUUUUCUGGCGGUAGCAGUUGU